CCAAGAUUGAGAAAAAAGUGAGAGUAUGGGUGAAAAGAAUGAGAAAGGAUGGUACUGAGAAGACAAAGGAAAAAAGUAGACUGCAUGCCCCUCUACCAAAGGUGUUGUUUGUUGACUCGAUUUUUCGAAAGCGAGAAAAGAUAAAGAGCUCUUGACCUGUUUUGUAAGCUGGAUAUGUAAUUUGAGUGUUCGUUUUGUCACAUUUCUCACUGAACGGUCAAAGCUUUCAGAAUCAACUGAUUGUUUCUAAUGCAUUCUAGCCUUUGGGAUUUCAGCCUGAACAACCUCUCCCCUGCUGGCAAAAUUAUUGCUUUGGUUCAGUUCUUAGGGCACCCACCCUUCUACUGAUUUGAGAUGACUAGCCACUGACAAGGUGGAAGGCCUUUGAAAGCACUGCAUAGCUUCCACUGAUGAUGAGAUCACGUACCAAAUGCACAUAAUCCGGUAAAUGAGCAAAAGUAGACCUUUUAUCAUCUUCCCAUGGCAUCUGUUUCUUUUCUCUUGCUGAAACUUUAUACCUCGUACGUGGAUAUUUUUCUACCUGUCUGCUUUCUACUAUUAAAAGAACUAUAACCUCCAA
RNAcentral lists this long non-coding RNA (580 nucleotides) under Pongo abelii (Sumatran orangutan). Its description in RNAcentral is "lincRNA". The record is from RNAcentral. Lineage: Eukaryota; Metazoa; Chordata; Mammalia; Primates; Hominidae.